GAUGAACGCUGGCGGCGUGCCUAAUACAUGCAAGUCGAGCGAACAGAUGAGGAGCUUGCUCCUCUGACGUUAGCGGCGGACGGGUGAGUAACACGUGGAUAACCUACCUAUAAGACUGGGAUAACUUCGGGAAACCGGAGCUAAUACCGGAUAAUAUAUUGAACCGCAUGGUUCAAUAGUGAAAGACGGUUUUGCUGUCACUUAUAGAUGGAUCCGUGCCGCAUUAGCUAGUUGGUAAGGUAACGGCUUACCAAGGCAACGAUGCGUAGCCGACCUGAGAGGGUGAUCAACAACACUGGAACUGAGACAAGGUCCAGACUACUACGGGGGGCAGCAGUAGGGAAUCUUCCGCAAUGGGCGAAAGACUGACGGAGCUACGCCGCGUGAGUGAUGAAGGUCUUCGGAUCGUAAAACUCUGUUAUUAGGAAAGAACAAAUGUGUAAGUAACUAUGCACGUCUUGACGGUACCUAAUCAGAAAGCCACGGCUAACUACGUA
Molecule: ribosomal RNA, 497 nt
Filed under: uncultured bacterium
Lineage: Bacteria
Description: partial 16S ribosomal RNA
Rfam family: Bacterial small subunit ribosomal RNA
Source: RNAcentral